CGCAUCUGUGCAUGCAGCAUAUCAAUAAGCGGAGGAAAAGUAAACUAACAAGGAUUCCCCUAGUAACGGCGAGUGAAGCGGGAAGAGCUCAAAUUUGAAAUCUUAAAGGGUUUCCCUUUACGAAUUGUAGUUUAAAGAAGUGUUUUCUGUUGAGGUUUUGGUAAAAGUUCUUUGGAAUAGGACAUCAUAGAGGGUGAGAAUCCCGUAUUUGACCUUUACUUUCAACUUUGUGAUACACUUUCAAAGAGUCGGAUUGUUUGGGAAUGCAGUCCAAAAUGGGUGGUAAAUUUCAUCUAAAGCUAAAUAUUGGCGAGAGACCGAUAGCGAACAAGUACCGUGAGGGAAAGAUGAAAAGAACUUUGAAAAGAGAGUUAAACAGUACGUGAAAUUGUCAAAAGAGGAAGCGUUUGACACCAGUGUUGUUUUUCUGAAAAUCAAUUAAAGAACUGUUUAUGCUAAGUUGUUUAGACUUUAUCAGCUAACUGUUUAGUUUUGAGCUUUUCUUUAAUGCAGCUUUUCAGUUAACAAGUCAACAUCAAUUUCUUUUGCUGUAAAAAAGCUUGAGGAAGGUGGCUUGAGAUUCGUCUUAAGUGUUUAUAGCCUCUUGCCUAUGCAGUCGGAGAGAUUGAGGUCUGCAGCGUAGAUCCUUCGGGGCUAAAUGCAUUUGUGCUAAGUUAUAGCAUUUUAUAGACAACUUGUUGACUAUGAUUUGUCUUGUAGCUUACUCGCUUAUGUUAUUUUACCUACGCUUAGGAUGUUGAGUCGUAGAGCACGCAG
This 777-nucleotide ribosomal RNA is filed under the name uncultured Neocallimastigales. Its description in RNAcentral is "partial large subunit ribosomal RNA". It matches the Rfam family "Eukaryotic large subunit ribosomal RNA", at positions 26 to 628 of the family's 3401-position model. The record is from RNAcentral. Lineage: Eukaryota; Fungi; Neocallimastigomycota; Neocallimastigomycetes; Neocallimastigales.